RNAcentral lists this transfer RNA (70 nucleotides) under Dipodomys ordii (Ord's kangaroo rat). It matches the Rfam family "tRNA". From Rfam's summary of the family: Transfer RNA (tRNA) molecules are approximately 80 nucleotides in length. Lineage: Eukaryota; Metazoa; Chordata; Mammalia; Rodentia; Heteromyidae. The record is from Rfam by way of RNAcentral.
GGGAAGGUGGCUCAGUGGUAAAGUGCUUGCUUUGCAUGCAUGAGGCCAUGGGUUCGAUUCCUCAGUACCA